Pteronotus mesoamericanus is the source of this 103-nucleotide small nuclear RNA. The record is from RefSeq and is a predicted model, not a curated record. NCBI's taxonomy places the organism in Eukaryota, Metazoa, Chordata, Mammalia, Chiroptera, Mormoopidae.
UUGCCACAACUGGUGCAUGUAUGCUAAAACUGGAAUGACACAGAGAUUAGCCUGGCCCCUGCACAAGGAUGACAUGCAAAUUUGUGGAAUGGUCUGCAUUGUU